AUGCGCUGCUUGCUUGCAUUGCACGGGCGCAAUUUGAUUAUCAAGAGAAAGAACAGAUCCCCAUUUGCUUGGCAACUGAGUGCAGUACUGCAUUUCCUUUAUCAAGAUCAAGGAGGAGUGAGAAUGACAGGCAGCCAUGGAGCAGCAACUCAAGGUCAAGCCCUCCAUGUACGAUUCAAUCAAGAUCAAGGUUUGGUCUUCGGCCCUCUGUUGCAGCAUGUGCCGCUCAACAUGACCUGUAGAACACUGAAUGGAUGCACAAGAAAAGGAAAAAGGCAGCAAGGAGGGAGAGGAUAUUUUAGUAAGGAGCUGUGGUACACAUGCAUAUUGAGCCUAGGUACACAGAUGACUCAUCAAUCGAAGCUUGCUACAGGUGAAAUUGUGACGUAA
RNAcentral lists this ribosomal RNA (390 nucleotides) under Triticum aestivum (bread wheat). Its description in RNAcentral is "partial small subunit ribosomal RNA". The record is from RNAcentral. Lineage: Eukaryota; Viridiplantae; Streptophyta; Magnoliopsida; Poales; Poaceae.